Molecule: ribosomal RNA, 463 nt
Filed under: Gilliamella sp. Bif1-4
Lineage: Bacteria; Pseudomonadati; Pseudomonadota; Gammaproteobacteria; Orbales; Orbaceae
Description: bacterial SSU rRNA
Rfam family: Bacterial small subunit ribosomal RNA
Source: RNAcentral
UUAAAUUGAAGAGUUUGAUCAUGGCUCAGAUUGAACGCUGGCGGCAGGCUUAACACAUGCAAGUCGAACGGUAACAUGAGUGCUUGCACUUGAUGACGAGUGGCGGACGGGUGAGUAAGGUAUGGGGAUCUGCCGAAUGGAGGGGGACAACAGUUGGAAACGACUGCUAAUACCGCAUAAAGUUGAGAGACCAAAGCAUGGGACCUUAGGGCCAUGCGCCAUUUGAUGAACCCAUAUGGGAUUAGCUAGUUGGUGGGGUAAGGGCUCACCAAGGCGACGAUCUCUAGCUGGUCUGAGAGGAUGACCAGCCACACUGGAACUGAGACACGGUCCAGACUCCUACGGGAGGCAGCAGUGGGGAAUAUUGCACAAUGGGGGGAACCCUGAUGCAGCCAUGCCGCGUGUAUGAAGAAGGCCUUCGGGUUGUAAAGUACUUUCGGUGAUGAGGAAGGAGAUGUAUCUA